This 253-nucleotide ribosomal RNA is filed under the name uncultured bacterium. Its description in RNAcentral is "partial 16S ribosomal RNA". It matches the Rfam family "Bacterial small subunit ribosomal RNA", at positions 524 to 776 of the family's 1533-position model. The record is from RNAcentral.
UACAGAGGGUGCGAGCGUUAAUCGGAAUUACUGGGCGUAAAGCGUGCGUAGACGGUUAUUUAAGUCGGGUGUGAAAGCCCCGGGCUCAACCUGGGAAUUGCAUUCGAUACUGCGUGGCUAGAGUGCUGGAGGGGAGACUGGAAUUUACGGUGUAGCAGUGAAAUGCGUAGAUAUCGUAAGGAAGACCAGUGGCGAAGGCGAGUCUCUGGACAGCAACUGACGCUGAGGCACGAAGGCCAGGGGAGCAAACGGG